Molecule: small nuclear RNA, 106 nt
Organism: Cricetulus griseus (Chinese hamster)
Lineage: Eukaryota; Metazoa; Chordata; Mammalia; Rodentia; Cricetidae
Source: Ensembl
GUGCUCACUUCAUCAGUACAUACAUUAAAUUGGAAUGAUAUAGAGAAUAUUAGCAUGUCCUCUGCACAAGGAUGACACCCAAAUUCAUGAAGUAUUCCACAAAAAA